UCCUACGGGGGGCAGCAGUGGGGAAUAUUGCACAAUGGGGGAAACCCUGAUGCAGCGACGCCGCGUGGGUGAAGCAGUACUUCGGUAUGUAAAGCUCUAUCCGCAGGGAAGAAGAUGACAGUACCUGAGUAAGAAGCCCCGGCUAACUACGUGCCAGCAGCCGCGGUAAUACGUAGGGGGCAAGCGUUAUCCGGAUUUACUGGGUGUAAAGGGAGCGUAGACGGUUAUGUAGGUCUGGAGUG
RNAcentral lists this ribosomal RNA (242 nucleotides) under uncultured bacterium. RNAcentral describes it as "partial 16S ribosomal RNA". It matches the Rfam family "Bacterial small subunit ribosomal RNA", at positions 337 to 596 of the family's 1533-position model. The record is from RNAcentral.